RNAcentral lists this ribosomal RNA (482 nucleotides) under uncultured bacterium. RNAcentral describes it as "bacterial SSU rRNA". It matches the Rfam family "Bacterial small subunit ribosomal RNA", at positions 1 to 523 of the family's 1533-position model. The record is from RNAcentral.
GGAUCCAGACUUUGAUCAUGGCUCAGGACGAACGCUGGCGGCAUGCCUAACACAUGCAAGUCGAACGAGAAGCAUUCUUCGGAAUGUGGAAAGUGGCGCACGGGUGAGUAAUACAUGGGAAUCUACCUUACACUGGGGGAUAACAGUUAGAAAUGACUGCUAAUACCGCAUACGCCAUAUUGGGAAAGCUCCGGCGGUGUAAGAUGAGCCCAUGCUAGAUUAGCUAGUUGGUGAGGUAAAAGCUCACCAAGGCAACGAUCUAUAGCGGGUUUGAGAGGAUGAUCCGCCACACUGGUACUGAGACACGGACCAGACUCCUUACGGGAGGCAGCAGUGGGGGAAUAUUGCGCAAUGGGGGCNACCCUGACCCAGCAUUGCCGCGUGAGUGAUGACGGUCNUUAGGAUUGUAAAGCUCUUUUAGCAGGGAAAAAAUGACGGUACCUGCAAAAAAGUCCGGCUAAUUCGGGCCACCGCCGCGUAUA